CCUACGGGAGGCUGCAGUGAGGAAUAUUGGUCAAUGGACGAGAGUCUGAACCAGCCAAGUAGCGUGAAGGAUGACUGCCCUAUGGGUUGUAAACUUCUUUUAUAUGGGAAUAAAAUGUUCCACGUGUGGGAUUUUGUAUGUACCAUAUGGAUAAGGAUCGGCUAACUCCGUGCCAGCAGCCGCGGUAAUACGGAGGAUCCGAGCGUUAUCCGGAUUUAUUGGGUUUAAAGGGAGCGUAGGUGGAUUGUUAAGUCAGUUGUGAAAGUUUGCGGCUCAACCGUAAAAUUGCAGUUGAAACUGGCAGUCUUGAGUACAGUAGAGGUGGGCGGAAUUCGUGGUGUAGCGGUGAAAUGCUUAGAUAUCACGAAGAACUCCGAUUGCGAAGGCAGUUCACUGGACUGCAACUGACACUGAGGCUCGAAAGUGUGGGUAUCAAACAGGAUUAGAUACCCUAGUAGU
Molecule: ribosomal RNA, 459 nt
Filed under: uncultured bacterium
Lineage: Bacteria
Description: partial 16S ribosomal RNA
Rfam family: Bacterial small subunit ribosomal RNA
Source: RNAcentral